GCUCCAGUGGCGCAAUUGGUCAGUGCGCGGUACUUAUAAUGCCGAGGUUGUGAGUUCGAGCCUCACCUGGAGCA
RNAcentral lists this transfer RNA (74 nucleotides) under Danio rerio (zebrafish). RNAcentral describes it as "tRNA-Ile (TAT) (tRNA-Ile-TAT-18-1)". It matches the Rfam family "tRNA". From Rfam's summary of the family: Transfer RNA (tRNA) molecules are approximately 80 nucleotides in length. Their secondary structure includes four short double-helical elements and three loops (D, anti-codon, and T loops). The record is from RNAcentral. Lineage: Eukaryota; Metazoa; Chordata; Actinopteri; Cypriniformes; Danionidae.